This 230-nucleotide ribosomal RNA is filed under the name uncultured bacterium. RNAcentral's name for it is "partial 16S ribosomal RNA". It matches the Rfam family "Bacterial small subunit ribosomal RNA", at positions 103 to 334 of the family's 1533-position model. The record is from RNAcentral.
CGGGUGAGGAACACGUACGCAACUUUCCUUAAACCGGGCACAACCUUGAGAAAUCAGGGCUAAUUCCCCAUAACAUUGCGAGAGGGCAUCUGAUUGCAAUUAAAGAUUCGUCGGUUUGAGAUGGGCGUGCGUUCGAUUAGCUAGUUGGUGGGGUAACGGCUCACCAAGGCGACGAUCGGUAGGUGGUCUGAGAGGACGAUCACCCAGACUGGGACUGAGACACGGCCCAG